Molecule: long non-coding RNA, 1883 nt
Organism: Gallus gallus (chicken)
Lineage: Eukaryota; Metazoa; Chordata; Aves; Galliformes; Phasianidae
Source: Ensembl
UCUAAACAAGGCUCAGUGUGACACACAGCUGUGUCUGAAUGCCGCAGACCCUGUGCCCAGCACACUGCCUCCUGUGGGCCUGCAGGCCAGGGCCUUUCCCUCAGUGCUUCUCCAGCCAGGAGGUCUCUGACAGUUUCUGUCAAGAUGGAAAAAGAAGGCACAAAUCUCGUUGUUACUAUCAGCCAUGCCCAUGCUUUAUAGAGCCUUGUAACUAGUUUGGAUCAAAGGUGUUUGUUUUCACUGCAGAGUUUACAGAGGCUGUGCCUUUAUUUAUCCCAGGACACCCUUAUAAAUGCUGGAGAGCAAGGCUCAGUUACUGCAAUCCCCUCCUAGAAGGAGUUCGCCGUAACUCAGCUUGUUCACGAGGCUCGCUUGCCGAUUUGACAGCUUGAGUGAUGUUGCUCCCACCUCGCUUUCCUUGAUUUUUGCCAGCAUUUGCAUCACGGGCCGCACGCUGUUCAUCUCUCCCUGCUGUCAUAGCAUGUCCCAAGCAGCCAUCUCGAAAGAAAUGCAGGCAGUGUGGAAAUGCUCCAUGAAAAUAUCCCUUCCUGAAACUCCCAACAGAGACAUUAAGUCCUCUGCAAGUCCCAGUGCCUCUCCAAGGAUAAGAGGGAAGGAUGGUGGGGUCUGUGGGUUUGUUUUCAUGUUACAAAAGCAGUAAGAGCACACAGGCUGCAGAAAGUGGAUACACACCACCACAUCUCUUAGAUCAGGAGCACUGCUGUUAUUCAGUACUACAUCCAAACGAAAUGGCUUUUAAGUAUUUGCUUCCUCCAACGAGUGAUGCCUUUCUAGGAUGUAUCAUCCACUUACCAAGCAGAACAAAAGGUUAUGUGAGCAGCUAAGGGCUGGGCCUGAAACUACAAAGAUCUAGAUAGCAAAAUAUAAUUUAAGAGAACUGCAAUGGCAUCUAGGCACAGAAACAGCACCUCUCCUAUGUCACGCAGAAAUUAAACCGCCUGCCUAAGAACUUACUGCUUCUAGGACUCCCAGACUAGCCAUUAUAAAUAGCAAACUUGUAAAUAGUUUGACAGCCUUCAGGGACUGCUGACCUUGAAUUCCCUUCAUAUGAGUAUAUCUAAAGAUUCUGCAAGCAAUCUGUGGUAAGCAACUCCUAUAUUUAUAAAACUUAUAGUAAUGGAUAAUGUAGCAGACCUGGCUUGGAAGCAGGUGCUGUCUUGACUGUUUUACUGUUCUCUAGAUGUAACAUGGGGAGGAAGGAAGAACCAUUAGUUCAUCCUUGCCCUUAAGGUACAUUGCUCCUACAAUGCUCCGACAAUUACCUUAAUGCUUUUUGUUUGUAAUCCAUUCAACCCCUCAGGACUCAUAAUCUAGUUCUUACUCCCAUGCUACAUGUAAAGAGAGGCAGAAUACUCAAAAGUAAAGCGACUUUUCAGCAUUAUUCCCAACCCCAGCUUCUGGAUCUAUGUGUCCCAGAUCCUUGGAGCUGUUUGUCUACCCUAAAUGUCAAAGAAUCAGACUCCUGCGAGCACUCCGCUCUUUGGGGACUCUCAGCUGCCGUUCAGAUGUCUGCAGGCAAGCAGCAGGGGAUGUGACCAGGGUGUGUUUCCCCUAUUUAAAGUGAACAUAAAGAAGCCCUCUGGGCUUGCUGACAAGUGCCAAGGACUGGAUCAUAGACCAGAAAACCUAGGCUUUGGAUCUCACGCUGACAUCUGUGCUUCUUUCCAGAUUUGCAUAAAGCAUCUCAGCUACUGACUUGAAAAAACACGAGCAAAUAUAACCAUGUAUGUCCACCCCAGAUGUUAAUUCUGAUUGUUAACAUACUUUGGGUCUUUCUCAUUACCUUAAAUAUUAUCAAGAUGUGUGGCUGGAAACUCCACUGAUGUAAACUGGAACAUUUCUAUCCAGUAAAACUACUGAUU